RNAcentral lists this ribosomal RNA (405 nucleotides) under uncultured bacterium. RNAcentral describes it as "partial 16S ribosomal RNA". It matches the Rfam family "Bacterial small subunit ribosomal RNA", at positions 30 to 526 of the family's 1533-position model. The record is from RNAcentral.
AUUGAACGCUGGCGGCAGGCUUAACACAUGCAAGUCGAACGAGUGGCGGACGGGUGAGUAAUGCUUGGGAAUCUAGCUUAUGGAGGGGGAUAACUACGGGAAACUGUAGCUACUACCGCGUACCAUAGGAUGAGCCCAAGGGGGAUUAGGUAGUUGGUGAGGUAAAGGCUCACCAAGCCGACGAUCUCUAGCUGGUCUGAGAGGAUGACCAGCCACACUGGUACAGAGACACGGCCCAGACUACUACGGGAGGCAGCAGUGGGGAAGAUUGCGCAAUGGGGGCAACCUGACGCAGCCAUGCCGCGUGAAUGAAGAAGGCCUUCGGGUGUUAAAGUUCUUUCGGUAGCGAGGCGUUAACGACAGAAGAAGCACCGGCUAACUCCGUGCCAGCAGCCGCGGUAAUUC